This 186-nucleotide ribosomal RNA is filed under the name uncultured Gemmatimonadota bacterium. RNAcentral's name for it is "uncultured Gemmatimonadetes bacterium partial 16S ribosomal RNA". It matches the Rfam family "Bacterial small subunit ribosomal RNA", at positions 338 to 524 of the family's 1533-position model. Lineage: Bacteria; Pseudomonadati; Gemmatimonadota. The record is from RNAcentral.
CCUACGGGAGGCAGCAGUGGGGAAUCAUGCGCAAUGGCCUAACGGCUGACGCAGCGACGCCGCGUGAGGGAUGACGCUCUUCGGAGUGUAAACCUCUUUUGACCGGAACGAAUUGCCACCAUCAGGUGGCUUGACGGUACCGGUUGAAUAAGCACCGGCUAACUCCGUGCCAGCAGCCGCGGUAAU